Molecule: long non-coding RNA, 333 nt
Organism: Neogale vison (American mink)
Lineage: Eukaryota; Metazoa; Chordata; Mammalia; Carnivora; Mustelidae
Exons: 4
Source: RefSeq, a predicted model, not a curated record
GAGCAGGAGCACGAAGGCGCAGCGGACGGGGCCCAGGCCGGCGGCGGACAUGGUCGCAGGAUGAAGGGACAGACAGAGCCUGACUCCCUGCUAUGAAAAAGUGUUCCAGUAUCACCAGAUUGGAAAAACCAACCCAAGAGAACUUAAAACAUACUUGAUCUAGAAACUGAGCAGAAAGGGCACGAGUUACUCUAACCCGGUCACCCAGCCACUCGCAGAACUGAAACCAGAGUCUAGAUGUACACACGGCUACUACACUGCACGUGCUGAAAAGACAACCUCGACUUUGAAACAGUUGAAUUUAAUGCAGUACUGACGCGUGUAGACAUGGCG